GGCUGAGUAGCUCAGUGGUCAGAGCGACGGUCUCAUAAACCGUAGGUCGUGGGUUCAAUACCCACCUCAGCCACCA
This 76-nucleotide transfer RNA is filed under the name bacterium. Its description in RNAcentral is "tRNA-Met". It matches the Rfam family "tRNA". Rfam says of the family: Transfer RNA (tRNA) molecules are approximately 80 nucleotides in length. Their secondary structure includes four short double-helical elements and three loops (D, anti-codon, and T loops). RNAcentral also lists the same sequence under 3 other names. The record is from RNAcentral.